UGGGGAAUUUUGGACAAUGGGGGAAACCCUGAUCCAGCCAUCCCGCGUGUGCGAUGAAGGCCUUCGGGUUGUAAAGCACUUUUGGCAGGAAAGAAACGUCAUGGGUUAAUACCCCGUGAAACUGACGGUACCUGCAGAAUAAGCACCGGCUAACUACGUGCCAGCAGCCGCGGUAAUACGUAGGGUGCAAGCGUUAAUCGGAAUUACUGGGCGUAAAGCGUGCGCAGGCGGUUCGGAAAGAAAGAUGUGAAAUCCCAGAGCUCAACUUUGGAACUGCAUUCUUAACUACCGGGCUAGAGUGUGUCAGAGGGAGGUGGAAUUCCGCGUGUAGCAGUGAAAUGCGUAGAUAUGCGGAGGAACACCGAUGGCGAAGGCAGCCUCCUGGGAUAACACUGACGCUCAUGCACGAAAGCGUGGGGAGCAAACAGG
This 429-nucleotide ribosomal RNA is filed under the name Acidobacteriota bacterium. Its description in RNAcentral is "Acidobacteria bacterium partial 16S ribosomal RNA". It matches the Rfam family "Bacterial small subunit ribosomal RNA", at positions 355 to 776 of the family's 1533-position model. Lineage: Bacteria; Pseudomonadati; Acidobacteriota. The record is from RNAcentral.